This 84-nucleotide transfer RNA is filed under the name Ignavibacteriales bacterium. RNAcentral describes it as "tRNA-Leu". It matches the Rfam family "tRNA". From Rfam's summary of the family: Transfer RNA (tRNA) molecules are approximately 80 nucleotides in length. Lineage: Bacteria; Pseudomonadati; Ignavibacteriota; Ignavibacteria; Ignavibacteriales. The record is from RNAcentral.
GCCGCGGUGCUGAAAUUGGUAUACAGGCUGGACUUAGAAUCCAGUGUCUGAAAGGACAUGAGAGUUCGAGUCUCUCCCGCGGCA